RNAcentral lists this ribosomal RNA (2923 nucleotides) under Staphylococcus aureus. RNAcentral's name for it is "23S ribosomal RNA". It matches the Rfam family "Bacterial large subunit ribosomal RNA". The record is from RNAcentral. Lineage: Bacteria; Bacillati; Bacillota; Bacilli; Caryophanales; Staphylococcaceae.
GAUUAAGUUAUUAAGGGCGCACGGUGGAUGCCUUGGCACUAGAAGCCGAUGAAGGACGUUACUAACGACGAUAUGCUUUGGGGAGCUGUAAGUAAGCUUUGAUCCAGAGAUUUCCGAAUGGGGAAACCCAGCAUGAGUUAUGUCAUGUUAUCGAUAUGUGAAUACAUAGCAUAUCAGAAGGCACACCCGGAGAACUGAAACAUCUUAGUACCCGGAGGAAGAGAAAGAAAAUUCGAUUCCCUUAGUAGCGGCGAGCGAAACGGGAAGAGCCCAAACCAACAAGCUUGCUUGUUGGGGUUGUAGGACACUCUAUACGGAGUUACAAAGGACGACAUUAGACGAAUCAUCUGGAAAGAUGAAUCAAAGAAGGUAAUAAUCCUGUAGUCGAAAAUGUUGUCUCUCUUGAGUGGAUCCUGAGUACGACGGAGCACGUGAAAUUCCGUCGGAAUCUGGGAGGACCAUCUCCUAAGGCUAAAUACUCUCUAGUGACCGAUAGUGAACCAGUACCGUGAGGGAAAGGUGAAAAGCACCCCGGAAGGGGAGUGAAAUAGAACCUGAAACUGUGUGCUUACAAGUAGUCAGAGCCCGUUAAUGGGUGAUGGCGUGCCUUUUGUAGAAUGAACCGGCGAGUUACGAUUUGAUGCAAGGUUAAGCAGUAAAUGUGGAGCCGUAGCGAAAGCGAGUCUGAAUAGGGCGUUUAGUAUUUGGUCGUAGACCCGAAACCAGGUGAUCUACCCUUGGUCAGGUUGAAGUUCAGGUAACACUGAAUGGAGGACCGAACCGACUUACGUUGAAAAGUGAGCGGAUGAACUGAGGGUAGCGGAGAAAUUUCAAUCGAACCUGGAGAUAGCUGGUUCUCUCCGAAAUAGCUUUAGGGCUAGCCUCAAGUGAUGAUUAUUGGAGGUAGAGCACUGUUUGGACGAGGGGCCCCUCUCGGGUUACCGAAUUCAGACAAACUCCGAAUGCCAAUUAAUUUAACUUGGGAGUCAGAACAUGGGUGAUAAGGUCCGUGUUCGAAAGGGAAACAGCCCAGACCACCAGCUAAGGUCCCAAAAUAUAUGUUAAGUGGAAAAGGAUGUGGCGUUGCCCAGACAACUAGGAUGUUGGCUUAGAAGCAGCCAUCAUUUAAAGAGUGCGUAAUAGCUCACUAGUCGAGUGACACUGCGCCGAAAAUGUACCGGGGCUAAACAUAUUACCGAAGCUGUGGAUUGUCCUUUGGACAAUGGUAGGAGAGCGUUCUAAGGGCGUUGAAGCAUGAUCGUAAGGACAUGUGGAGCGCUUAGAAGUGAGAAUGCCGGUGUGAGUAGCGAAAGACGGGUGAGAAUCCCGUCCACCGAUUGACUAAGGUUUCCAGAGGAAGGCUCGUCCGCUCUGGGUUAGUCGGGUCCUAAGCUGAGGCCGACAGGCGUAGGCGAUGGAUAACAGGUUGAUAUUCCUGUACCACCUAUAAUCGUUUUAAUCGAUGGGGGGACGCAGUAGGAUAGGCGAAGCGUGCGAUUGGAUUGCACGUCUAAGCAGUAAGACUGAGUAUUAGGCAAAUCCGGUACUCGUUAAGGCUGAGCUGUGAUGGGGAGAAGACAUUGUGUCUUCGAGUCGUUGAUUUCACACUGCCGAGAAAAGCCUCUAGAUAGAAAAUAGGUGCCCGUACCGCAAACCGACACAGGUAGUCAAGAUGAGAAUUCUAAGGUGAGCGAGCGAACUCUCGUUAAGGAACUCGGCAAAAUGACCCCGUAACUUCGGGAGAAGGGGUGCUCUUUAGGGUUAACGCCCAGAAGAGCCGCAGUGAAUAGGCCCAAGCGACUGUUUAUCAAAAACACAGGUCUCUGCUAAACCGUAAGGUGAUGUAUAGGGGCUGACGCCUGCCCGGUGCUGGAAGGUUAAGAGGAGUGGUUAGCUUCUGCGAAGCUACGAAUCGAAGCCCCAGUAAACGGCGGCCGUAACUAUAACGGUCCUAAGGUAGCGAAAUUCCUUGUCGGGUAAGUUCCGACCCGCACGAAAGGCGUAACGAUUUGGGCACUGUCUCAACGAGAGACUCGGUGAAAUCAUAGUACCUGUGAAGAUGCAGGUUACCCGCGACAGGACGGAAAGACCCCGUGGAGCUUUACUGUAGCCUGAUAUUGAAAUUCGGCACAGCUUGUACAGGAUAGGUAGGAGCCUUUGAAACGUGAGCGCUAGCUUACGUGGAGGCGCUGGUGGGAUACUACCCUAGCUGUGUUGGCUUUCUAACCCGCACCACUUAUCGUGGUGGGAGACAGUGUCAGGCGGGCAGUUUGACUGGGGCGGUCGCCUCCUAAAAGGUAACGGAGGCGCUCAAAGGUUCCCUCAGAAUGGUUGGAAAUCAUUCAUAGAGUGUAAAGGCAUAAGGGAGCUUGACUGCGAGACCUACAAGUCGAGCAGGGUCGAAAGACGGACUUAGUGAUCCGGUGGUUCCGCAUGGAAGGGCCAUCGCUCAACGGAUAAAAGCUACCCCGGGGAUAACAGGCUUAUCUCCCCCAAGAGUUCACAUCGACGGGGAGGUUUGGCACCUCGAUGUCGGCUCAUCGCAUCCUGGGGCUGUAGUCGGUCCCAAGGGUUGGGCUGUUCGCCCAUUAAAGCGGUACGCGAGCUGGGUUCAGAACGUCGUGAGACAGUUCGGUCCCUAUCCGUCGUGGGCGUAGGAAAUUUGAGAGGAGCUGUCCUUAGUACGAGAGGACCGGGAUGGACAUACCUCUGGUGUACCAGUUGUCGUGCCAACGGCAUAGCUGGGUAGCUAUGUGUGGACGGGAUAAGUGCUGAAAGCAUCUAAGCAUGAAGCCCCCCUCAAGAUGAGAUUUCCCAACUUCGGUUAUAAGAUCCCUCAAAGAUGAUGAGGUUAAUAGGUUCGAGGUGGAAGCAUGGUGACAUGUGGAGCUGACGAAUACUAAUCGAUCGAAGACUUAAUCAA